AUUGAACGCUGGCGGCAUGCCUUACACAUGCAAGUCGAACGGCAGCACGGGUGCUUGCACCUGGUGGCGAGUGGCGAACGGGUGAGUAAUACAUCGGAACAUGUCCUGUAGUGGGGGAUAGCCCGGCGAAAGCCGGAUUAAUACCGCAUACGAUCUACGGAUGAAAGCGGGGGACCUUCGGGCCUCGCGCUAUAGGGUUGGCCGAUGGCUGAUUAGCUAGUUCGUGGGGUAAAGGCCUACCAAGGCGACGAUCAGUAGCUGGUCUGAGAGGAAGACCAGCCACACUGGGACUGAGACACGGCCCAGACUCCUACGGGAGGCAGCAGUGGGGAAUUUUGGACAAUGGGCGAAAGCCUGAUCCAGCAAUGCCGCGUGUGUGAAGAAGGCCUUCGGGUUGUAAAGCACUUUUGUCCGGAAAGAAAUCCUUGGCCCUAAUACGGUCGGGGGAUGACGGUACCGGAAGAAUAAGCACCGGCUAACUACGUG
Molecule: ribosomal RNA, 486 nt
Filed under: uncultured bacterium
Lineage: Bacteria
Description: partial 16S ribosomal RNA
Rfam family: Bacterial small subunit ribosomal RNA
Source: RNAcentral